This is a long non-coding RNA of Neogale vison (American mink), 1100 nucleotides long. RefSeq lists it as uncharacterized. Lineage: Eukaryota; Metazoa; Chordata; Mammalia; Carnivora; Mustelidae. The transcript is spliced from 3 exons. The record is from RefSeq and is a predicted model, not a curated record.
CUAUUGCUAUAAAGAGGCUCCAGGGGCCCGAGAAAAAGAUGGAAAGAAGAAAUCAAUCAGUCAUCCAAAAAGCCUUUAUUCUCCCACUUGGUUCCUUUUCCAGAGCUUGUACUUCUCUAAGUUCUAGAACAGGGUCAGGGUGACAGUGCCAGGGAGGGGAGCCUCUGGGCCCAUGCUCGUACAUGGGUGUGAACUCCUUGCCCAGCUUCACGGGCCCAGGCUGUGCAUGCCUCGCACAGGGGUUAGACAAGUCGUGGGUGCAGGAGAGCCCACUCCCGGGGCUGUAAGGAAGGAGGAAUUCCAUUGUGAGACCAAGCAGAAGCAUUAGGAAAAUUAACCUCAUUUCAACAUUGCAGGUUCUUUCGAAGAGAUGUCAUGAAUGAGGAGGUUCAGCUGUUCUCCAGGACCCAGUCCCUCAGGGGGUUCCUCAGAGAACUGGCAUCGGCCGAAGCAGACCCAGGGGCUGGGUUCCCGGAGAGAUGCUGCCUUCCUUCAUCCCCACAGGCAGCCCAUCUUGGAUCCAAGGAUGAAGGCUUUGGAGGUCUUCCCAGCGGUGUGGAGACCCACCUGUCCAGCCGCAGCUGGCACACGAUGCCCAGAAUGUCCACUUCCCCGCGGGUCUUCAGUUGCUGACAGCCAAUUCGGGUGGCGAUGAAGCAGCCAGUCCGGCCAAUCCCUGCACUGGACACAGCCAGGGAGGCGACAGGGAGGUCACAGGAGACCAGGGAACAUGGGGGCCAGUCCCCGUGGACAUUCCAAGGAGCCAUCUUCUGCGCAGCUGCAGGCAGCAGUGGUUUCCAGCUGUCAGGCCUGCUGAACUCCUGGGUCCGCCUUCUACCAUGACCUCAUUCCCCCAGUGGCUGACACUCAGCCCCCUUUCCCAGCUCUGCAUCCUUCCCAUAGCUGGCCCUCCACUCUGCUCUGUCUUGCUCUUUAUUUCCAAACCUGCCUGGCCCCCCUUUUUGGGAAGGCUUCUCGUCUGGAGCCCUGAUAGAAGCCACUCAGGACUUCCCAGCACUUAAGGUCCAGGUGUCACCUGCGAGGAGGGGGCUCAUGAGUCCCCCCUUGAUCUGUACUUUUUUUUCUUUUUUUAAGAUUUA